CCACGAGGAAGCAUCCCAUAUCGAACCGUAAACCCACAUUGGCCUUAUUGGGAAAGUUGCGUCGUUCCUUCUUGUAUACCUUCGAAUCGACCACCGAAUGGCGUAAUGGUGGAAAUCCUGUGUCGGGUCAAACCAGAGAUGGAAUCUCAUUUCUCUUCCGACAAUGUUUCCAUCUCCACUUCCUCUGAUGAACACGUUCGUUUGCAGUGUAUACGGUUUCCCUGGCGUCGUUCCCAGGAAUUCGAGGUCGAUUUCAUCGUGGUUUCCGGGGUAGUAUUGGUUGUUCGAAAGCUAAAUCAGAAUAAAGUUAAAACACGUGUAGCCGGAUUGGAGUUUUACAGCAACACCAAAGUAGCCGGAUCGGUAUGAGCGCAGUGAUUUAAACCCGCUACCUGUUCGACGAAAUGACGCACAGAGAAAAAUCAGCCAAAAUAGGAAAUGGGGUAAGAGAUUGUGAAAAACUAUUCAGCUUUCUGCCACAACCAUAUGAAUUUGAGGUGCUUUUAUCAUUUUUCUCUCGUACAUCCAACGAUUAUUAUGAGUCAAUUACAUUAUGGCAGCCUACUUGAAUAGAUUUUAUUCCGGAAAGUAGGAGAUAAACGGUGGACCUGAGGUACUGUCGAGCCAAAUGGUUAAG
Cucurbita moschata (crookneck pumpkin) is the source of this 637-nucleotide long non-coding RNA. RefSeq lists it as uncharacterized. The record is from RefSeq and is a predicted model, not a curated record. Lineage: Eukaryota; Viridiplantae; Streptophyta; Magnoliopsida; Cucurbitales; Cucurbitaceae. The transcript has 3 exons.